This 468-nucleotide ribosomal RNA is filed under the name uncultured bacterium. RNAcentral describes it as "partial 16S ribosomal RNA". It matches the Rfam family "Bacterial small subunit ribosomal RNA", at positions 28 to 507 of the family's 1533-position model. The record is from RNAcentral.
GACGAACGCUGGCGGCGUGCUUAACACAUGCAAGUCGAACGGAAAGGCCCUGCUUUUGUGGGGUGCUCGAGGGGCGAACGGGUGAGUAACACGUGAGUAACCUGCCCUAGACUUUGGGAGAACUUCAGGAAACGGGGGUUAAUACCAGAUAGCAGCUCCUGCUGCAUGGUGGGCGUUGGAUAUUUUCGGCGGGCGGGGUUGGACUCGCGGCUGAUCGGCUUGUUGGUGGGGUAGUGGCUUCCCAAGGCUUUGGCGGGUCGCCCGCCUGGGAGGGUGGACGGCCACCUUGGGACUGAGAUACGGCCCAGACUCCUAUGGGAGGCAGCAGUGGCGAAUCUUGCACAGUGGGCGGACGCCUGAUGCGACAGCGCUGCGUGCGGGAAGCCGGCCUUCGGGUAGUGAACCGCUUUCGCCUGUUACGACGCGUGAGUGACGGUAAUGGGUGAAGAAGCACCGGCUAACUACGUG